UACGGGGGAUGCAAGCGUUAUCCGGAUUUAUUGGGUUUAAAGGGUGCGUAGGCUGUGAGGUAAGUCAGCGGUGAAAUGCCCCCGCUCAACGGGGUGAAGUGCCAUUGAUACUGCCUUGCUGGAAUGCGGAUGCCGUGGGAGGAAUGUAUGGUGUAGCGGUGAAAUGCAUAGAUAUCACACAGAACACCGAUUGCGAAGGCAUCUCACGAAUCCGCAAUUGACGCUGAUGCACGAAAGCGUGGGUAUCAAACAGG
This 254-nucleotide ribosomal RNA is filed under the name uncultured bacterium. RNAcentral describes it as "partial 16S ribosomal RNA". It matches the Rfam family "Bacterial small subunit ribosomal RNA", at positions 524 to 776 of the family's 1533-position model. The record is from RNAcentral.